AUAGCAACGUUUGAUUCACCCAGGAAGCGACACCGGCAUUCCAUCUAAAAGAAAAAAGACGAUAAAUGACAUUCUUUUGAAGAAAUGUCCGUUUAAAUGUUCUCAGAUUGAUUAAUUAUUCAUAUAAAUAGGCUUCGUUUGAUCGAAUGUUCAGUAAAUAUUGUCUGGGAAGUAAUGGAUGACGAAAUCAGCUCGAGCAUCGAUUAUGCAAAUGAGUAGCACCAUGUCCUCCAGUAAUCUGCCACCCCUGCGAAAUCUGCCCAGCUGGACCAGGGUUCGAGAUCUGGACCGUGUCAGAUACCCCAGACUGCUGUCCAGUGACUGUAUGGUCAGAUCUCCAGCUGUGGGCUUCAAGAGCCAGAAGUCAGCUGCUGAGCCCAGGACAGAUGCACCCAGCACGAGCAUCACCUCCCUGGAGAAGGAUGUUCUGUUCCUCCAACAACAGCAUAAAGACACGCUGGAGAGACUGCACGCAGAGAUUGAAGAUCUGAAGCGUGUUAAUAAAGAAUUACAGUAUAAGCUGAUUAUGGAACAUGAAAAUUCUCCAAAAGAGUGCAUAUGGUCCAACAGUAAUUCCUCCAAAUCCAGCAGUGAUGGUUCAGUGGAGAAGAAUUCCCAGUGUGGAUUCAUCAGCUCGGAGGAGGCAUGUGAGGCGGCAGGAGGAGGCGCAGUCACGUCUCUGCUGCCUCUCAGGAUCACCUGCAGCCCGUCCCAGCAGCCCCGCACCCCGACGCUGAAAGAGUGUGAGCUCCUCAUCCGCCAGCUCCAUCACACCAACACCGCGCAGAAUCAGGAGCUGCUGCGGAUCAAGACGGUCCUCAGAGAAAUCACCUCCAAGAACAGAUCAGCUGCUGAAGCUUUCUCUCUCACAAGAGCCUCGCUCUGUGACAACAGCAGGGGUGAGGUCUUCGAGCAUCUUCCAAAACUACCUCUCAAACCACUCCCAAAGAAACAGAUUCUGGAUCGGUCGGGUAAAGGAGAACCUGUGCUUCUCCCAGCCAUCAAGCACAGUCUCAGCAGCAGCAUGUCCGAGCGGCAGAGGAGAGCGCAGGACGUGCACAGACUGCGUCUCAGGAGAGCGCUGAACUCUUAACCCUCCUCUGCAGUGCUUCUGUCAUUGGGUCUUCCUGUUUGCUGAUUAGAAGAGACGCGAGGAAUGAGUGAAUGGCUGUUGAUCACGUUUGAUUCCCUAAUGAACUAAAUAAGACUCUUUCCAGAGAAGCAGCCAAAUGUCAAAGACGAGACGAGAGCUAAGCUGGCCGUCCUUCAACAGGAAGAUCUCUAGAGACAGACACAAUAUAUAUACAUUCAAAUCUCUUAUAAAACCUGGUUUUGAUGAGAUACACUAAAAUGUGCGUUCCCCUUGAGGUUUCAGAAAGCAAUGCGGUCUAAAUUCUAAUUUAACUCUCUUUAAAUAAAUGCAACAGCAACAUUUUAUUAUGUGUUAUUAUUUCUGUAGAGUUCUUGUUUCUGUUGUUAGUCCUGGACUCAUGCAGGGACCUGUAAGUGUUCAUUUCUUCACUAAGGCCGAGUAUGUUUCCUCUGUAGUGCGCUAGUGUAAUAUGGCCAUUGAGAAGGUCUUAUAGUCUCCUGUAGGAUCUCUAACUGAUGAGUUCCAGCAACUGGAUCCAUGCCCAGGCCUUCAGCAGACACCACAUAGUAUUACUGUGUUUAAGAGCCUUAUUAAGUAAUGGGUUUUAGAGGGCACUAUCUCAUUCAGUUCAAUUCAAUCAGAUGCUCAAGAUGCCUCAAACAACACGUUUCUCUAAUUCACUUUACACAAGAAAACAUUUCAGUAACACUUUGCUUGUAAAG
This is an RNA transcript of Carassius gibelio (silver crucian carp), 1815 nucleotides long. It is a transcript of the gene named coiled-coil domain-containing protein 74A, with no coding region annotated. NCBI's taxonomy places the organism in Eukaryota, Metazoa, Chordata, Actinopteri, Cypriniformes, Cyprinidae. The transcript is spliced from 9 exons. The record is from RefSeq and is a predicted model, not a curated record.